GCCCAGCCCCGCGUCUCUGCCGGCCUGGGGCACAGCCUUCAGCCCCUUCCCUGCCUUCUCUGCUCAUCAGCCACAGAGGCCUGGGCACCUCCCCUCCCUCCCGACGGUGGUGUCCGGGCCCUGGACGCCCAGCCCUGAGGGCACCACCUCUGUGGCAGGCCAUGGUGUCUCUACCCACGUGCAGAAACAGGCCAGCAGCUCAGGGGGCCCCCGAUCUCUCCAAACCUGCACAGAGUGCCCUAUGCCAGGACAGCCUGCACUGAAUCUGUGACCGAGGAGCAGCUAGAAGACACCGAGGCCUCGCUGCCGGGCUACAGGCACUGACCCACUCCCUUCAGCCGCCCGCACGUCCAGGUGGGCACCCAGGUUGGCUGCCGUUCGGGGUCAAGCCCAGGGAGUGGAGUUGCCACACUGGGGCCCCUUGCCUUGGCCUUUCAGAGUAUGAGAAAUGCCUGUCUUUACUCUUCCCGCCACUUUGAGGUGGGCUUUCAAUUACUUGCAACCAAAUGCAUCCUAAAAGGUCCUGAGGACCCGGUUCCCCAGCCACCUGUGAGGAGGUCGCCUCUGUGCUCCUAUGACCCCUAUGACCUCCAUCCUUUCCAGUGUCACUCUCCCCGGGGCCCAGCUUUCUACCACCUCUCCUUCUCCAGGAGCGAGAAGAAAAGCCAGGACACAUACUGCACACAGCAGAGACUGCGAAAGGCCACACCGCCUUACUCAGGUAGAUGGUUAAAAGAGUUCAGCUGACUCCCAGAAGUCACCCGGUCAUCACUUCCCUCCACUCCUGGGCUGGUCUAUUCUCCUUUCACCCUGAGACCAGGGUUGAGUCAUUCCCUUUACCGACUUAAAAUGAGGUCUUUUUCUUCUGGGGUCCCAGACACAACCAUAUCUGAAUUCUCACUGGAAAUAUGCUCAGUUAGAGGCACCAGCCUCUCGUUCCAGCUGUACUGCCCUGUCUUCUCUCGGACCGUGGGUCCUGUCCAGAACCCUCUUCUUGGAAAGGACCCUGGAUGUGAGCCCCCCACCAGCCCCAGGGAUGGUUCCUCCCUCCGCGAGCCUCACCCCGGAAUCAGCCAUUCCCUGGAAAGCGCUGCCCAAUGAGGAACGGGGCCUGGCGCUUAGGGAGCCCACGGCGUGCGGGUGCACGCAGCCCUCGGCUCCAGCGCUGAUGGUGUCUGACGAUGUCGUGGAGGAGGCCCAAACGAAAGGCCAGGAAGUCUGAGGAAGACGGGUGGGGGGAUUCUGAAUACAAGCUCCGGUUUAGAGGCGAGGCAGAACUUGAACCGAUGGGGGCGGUCAGGGUGGGGCAUCGCAGACGCAGAGAAAAGGCAGAAGCGGAACGGCAGGAAGGGCGGCCGCUCAGGAGAGACAGGCGUGCGGGGUGGGACAGGAAGCAGAUCAGAGGAAGCCGGGAAGCCAGGCUGGGCCCGGGUGGCGGGAGCUCGGGGUCCAGGGUGAACGGGAGUUUAACCUGGCAGAUGAGAGGACACAGCGUUUCUGUCUCCCAGCACCUGUUGAUCGCUCUGUGUUUUAGUCCAGGUCGCUGUGGAGGAGAUGGAGCUUUCCCACGGGCCAUCUCUGCAGCCCGGCUAUGUGAGCUGCGAGCAGAGCCCGUCACCUCAGUUUGCAGACCUUCUAAAGGCUGAAUACAAGCUGGCAUGCCUGAGCUUUUGAAGAAGAGGCAGCUCGGGCCGUGAUCUGGUCCCAUCACAGCACCAAGGGCAGGACCUGAGGGCGUCUUCCAGGGCACACAGCACAGAGCGGCCAGGCCAGCCCUGCACCCGUCUCUCUGAGCCCAGACAGGGCGGCAGACUCGCGUGCGCCAGAGAUGGUAAUCCUGCGGCAAUGAUGCCAGCGCCAGGCCCUCCCACCGCCUCAUGCGGUCAUUAGAGCAGCCGGGGUCAGUGCCUCGAUUCCCUGUGUAGAAAGAAAGAAACAGAUGGCAGGUGCUUUGGUGUUCACACAGCUAACACCUGAGAACCAGACCCCGGGGCUGUGGGCUUCCACCUGUGCUCUGGCCACCGGGGUGCACGGCUCUGCUGCAGAACAAAGCCGGAAGGAGUCCGAGGAUCCCUCCCCACCUCACGUGCAGUGAUUCUGGGGUGAAGAGCUUUGAAUUCAGCUCCUCCUUUAAAAAAACAAGCCGUUUAACUAGGUCAGGUAAACACAGUGAUAUUUGGACUAGCUCAGCCCAGCUCUGAAGGCUCAUGGCGGAACGUCUGAAUUAGGAUGGGGAAGGACCCCGUUAUCCAUUAACCCUGUCCCGGUUCACGGGGCAGGUGGCUCUGGGAACGGGCAGCCGACGUGGCCCACCUUCAGCUGCCCAGGAUCUCCCCGGAGCAGCAGCAACGGGGCCUCACGACCAGGCACCUCCAAGCACCCGCGUCACAGGGUGCCAAACCUUGGCUGGAGAACCUGAGGGGCAGAGUCCACAUGAACCGGAGCAGGGCCCCACGGCCCUUGUCCCCACCACUACGUCCUCCGCGAGAAACCUUUAGCCAAAGAGUAAGUUUAAUCCGAGAAGGGAGAAAAUGCAGAAACGAAGGAAAACAGUCAAAGGAGACCAAACAAUCAUGGCUUAGUCAUUAAGCACAGUCAAGGGCCUUUAGCUCUGCUUUAAGGGCUGCAGGUCAUAUUCUGAGCCGCAUCCCGUGAGCUGUACCGAAGCCCCCGCCAGGUGGAGGAGGUUGACUGCAUCACGACCAAACUGAAGCCACGCCAUACGCUGUCCCACUUCACACGAUUCCGAGAACUGGCCUCAAAGAAACGGGAACAAACCCUGCAGCUAAGGGUUAACUGUACUUAAAACAGCCAAGGUGACGCCCAUCAGACCACCACAUUCCCGAUUUCAAGACGACUGUCAGAGCUGACUGCGCUGUGCUGCCCCCCGCUCCGCCUGUACACCCCGAAACUGCCCUUUAAAAGCCCCUGGCCCCUGAGCAGCCAUCGGGAGCUGGUUCUCAGACAGGAGCCCACCCUCUGCCCCGGUUGCCGGACUCCGAAAUAAAGCAAACUUUCCUUUCCGAGCAACCCUUGUCUCUGGAGAAUUGGCUUUC
This is a long non-coding RNA of Aethalodelphis obliquidens (Pacific white-sided dolphin), 3056 nucleotides long. RefSeq lists it as uncharacterized. The transcript has 3 exons. NCBI's taxonomy places the organism in Eukaryota, Metazoa, Chordata, Mammalia, Artiodactyla, Delphinidae. The record is from RefSeq and is a predicted model, not a curated record.